UACGAAGGGGGCGAGCGUUGUUCGGAAUUACUGGGCGUAAAGGGCGCGUAGGCGGCCGAUCAAGUCAGGUGUGAAAGUCCUGGGCUUAACCUGGGGACUGCAUUUGAUACUGAUUGGCUUGAAUGCAGGAGAGGAUAGCGGAAUUCCCAGUGUAGAGGUGAAAUGCGCAGAUAUCAGGAGGAACACCGGUGGCGAAGGCGGUUCUCUGGGCAUGUCCUGACGCUGAGGAGCGAAAGCGUGGGGAGCGAACAGG
RNAcentral lists this ribosomal RNA (253 nucleotides) under uncultured bacterium. RNAcentral's name for it is "partial 16S ribosomal RNA". It matches the Rfam family "Bacterial small subunit ribosomal RNA", at positions 524 to 776 of the family's 1533-position model. The record is from RNAcentral.